Long non-coding RNA from Podarcis muralis (Common wall lizard), 1836 nucleotides. RefSeq lists it as uncharacterized. Lineage: Eukaryota; Metazoa; Chordata; Lepidosauria; Squamata; Lacertidae. The record is from RefSeq and is a predicted model, not a curated record.
GGGCGGGGCGGUGGCAAAGGUGCCGCCCUCUCGGGCCUCUGCGCGCGGCCGCAGCAUGCUUAUGAAUACUCAUGAAGUGGGCGGGGGGCGCCACGCACCUCUCUUCGGACGCCCUUUCCCGCUUCCUUCAGUUUGGUCUGGAGGGACUCGGAGGUGGAAGGGGUGCCUGAGGCGGCGGCGUGUCGGGUGGGGCGUCGUCGGCAAAAGGCUCCGUCCCUUGGGAGCCAUAUAGCCCACAGGCCGAAGCCGCGCAUGACGUCAGCUGCCUUUCCCUCAGUGGGAGAUGGCCGAGGCGAGCCCCGUGGGCCGAGAUGCGAGGGGAGCCCUUGGCUGACCAGUGCCGUGAGGAAGCCGCGACUUCCUUCGUGUUAUUAUCUCACUUACCCUACGUAAGAGGUGGAUGAGCUCUAAAACAGUAAUUUUUUAGAAAAAAUGGAGAAGCAAAACAGGCGCAUCUCCCCCCCACCCCUUUCCAGUAUUUUUAACUUUCGGCUUCAGUUAUUGGGAAGAAAGCAGCCUCGGGUGGCGAUCAGCAGUACCGGUCUGUUGGUUGUGACUUUGCCAUUCUUUAUUCGGAUCGUGUUGUUCAUUGGCAAGCAAGACCACUGAAAACGGCAGAAGGAUUGCGGCCCAUCUCUCCUCAAAACGCUACUUAUCCUUUUUAUACAGUAGUUCGAUAACAGGCUUCUUGAUUACAAAGGAACUUUUCCCUACGCCAUGUGAACUUCCUUUCUUCCUGUUCCUUUGAUCUUCUCCAGGGCUGAAGAGGAGAGUGAGCACUUCCAGAUGAACAGUGGGCUUUGUUUCCUUAAGGUUACAUUUAGGAAAGUUUGAAAGUUGCUUCCUGGAUUGAGGGAAACUCGUUGUGGCACAGAUUUAGAAAAGUUGGGCCCAAUUUUUAGAUAUACAUCGUAUACACCGCAACAUACUGGCAGUGUAAUGGCUUCGCUCCUACACAAUAGGGGAGCAAAGAUAUACUGCAAUAACUCCCUUUUAGCCAUAAUCAUUCUUAUUCUGGAAAUCCACUGAUUUCAUUCUACUGGGGGUGGGGGGGUGGGACGGACCACCCCAAGACCCUGUCUAGGAAGCUGACAUGAAUUAUUUACCGGUACUUUUCCUGUGGAUCCCGUGAUAAUAGUUGUAACAUGUUGAGUGGGCAAUUUAAUGGUCACAUAACACUUAUGGCAGGCCUUUGUACAAACUUAUUGGAACUGUGGGAAUUCUGAUCACAAAAAGGGCCUUCCUUCCCUUUUGGUGUUGUGUGUUUUAGAUUGUAAACCUGUGGGCAGGGACUGUCUUGUUUUAACUGAAUGUAUGUAAGCGCUCUAGGAAAGCCUUUUUGGCUGAAGCGUAGGGCACAAAUGCUUAAAACAAAUCAAAAGGGGCCUCUGCUGUGCAAAUUUUUCCUCUAUAGUCACUUUCUCAGUCAAGCUGUUAAAAUAACAAGAAAGACGUGUAAGUUAACUGUCUUGCUGGUCUGAUACAAUGUAACUCAAACAAAGAGCACUUUGUCAGGUCAAUACUAAUAUUUUCUAGCUGUUACAAUUCUGCGCACUGUAACAGAAAUACGCAUAGGGAACAUGCUUGGCUUUUCCUUAGAAGUCAAUGGAUGACUAUAAUAAUGAUCUUAAUUGAACUGGAACUGUAAUAAAAGGGUUUUUACAAGUUUGUAAAUAAAAAUGGAGACAUGUUCCCAUCCUGUAUGACAUUAAAAAAUUCUCUUUCCUUUGGCUUAAUUCUUUUGUGGGUGAAAUGUUUUGGUUUGAACUGUUUAAUUUGUUUUCUAUAAUUUUCCCCAUUUCAUUCAUUAAUUUAUGCACCACUUGAUUGAAGGGG